GUAGCGAAGAGGAUUAGAUACCCUCGUAGUCCAUGCCGUAAACGAUGUGUGUUAGACGUUGGAAAUUUAUUUUCAGUGUCGCAGUGAAAGCGAUAAACACACCGCCUGGGGAGUACGACCGCAAGGUUAAAACUCAAAUGAAUUGACGGGGACCCGCACAAGUAGUGGAGCAUGUGGUUUAAUUCGAAGAUACGCGCAGAACCUUACCAACACUUGACAUGUUCGUCGCGACUUUAAGAGAUUAAAGUUUUCGGUUCGGCCGGACGAAACACAGGUGCUGCAUGGCUGUCGUCAGCUCGUGUCGUGAGAUGUUGGGUUAAGUCCCGCAACGAGCGCAACCCUCACUUUUAGUUGCCAUCAUUAAGUUGGGCACUCUGAAAGAACUGCCAGUGAUAAGCUGGAGGAAGGUGGGGAUGACGUCAAGUCCUCAUGGCCCUUACGUGUUGGGCUACACACGUGCUACAAUGGUAUUUACAACAGGAAGCAAGACGGCGACGUUUAGCAAAUCCUUAAAAAAUACCUCAGUUCGGAUUGCACUCUGCAACUCGAGUGCAUGAAGCUGGAAUUACUAGUAAUCGUGGAUCAGCGUGCCACGGUGAAUGCGUUCCCGGGUCUUGUACACACCGCCCGUCACACCAUGGGAGUUGGUUCUACCUUAAGGCAAGGUUUUAAACCCUUGACCACGGUAUAGUCAGCGACUGGGGUGAAGUCGUAACAAGGUAGCCGUA
Molecule: ribosomal RNA, 728 nt
Filed under: uncultured bacterium
Lineage: Bacteria
Description: bacterial SSU rRNA
Rfam family: Bacterial small subunit ribosomal RNA
Source: RNAcentral